UGGGGAAUAUUGCACAAUGGGCGCAAGCCUGAUGCAGCCAUGCCGCGUGUGUGAAGAAGGCCUUCGGGUUGUAAAGCACUUUCAGCGGGGAGGAAGGCGAUAAGGUUAAUAACCUUGUCGAUUGACGUUACCCGCAGAAGAAGCACCGGCUAACUCCGUGCCAGCAGCCGCGGUAAUACGGAGGGUGCAAGCGUUAAUCGGAAUUACUGGGCGUAAAGCGCACGCAGGCGGUCUGUCAAGUCGGAUGUGAAAUCCCCGGGCUUAACCUGGGAACUGCAUUCGAAACUGGCAGGCUAGAGUCUUGUAGAGGGGGGUAGAAUUCCAGGUGUAGCGGUGAAAUGCGUAGAGAUCUGGAGGAAUAUCGGUGGCGAAGGCGGCCCCCUGGACAAAGACUGACGCUCAGGUGCGAAAGCGUGGGGAGCAAACAGG
This 429-nucleotide ribosomal RNA is filed under the name Chloroflexota bacterium. RNAcentral describes it as "Chloroflexi bacterium partial 16S ribosomal RNA". It matches the Rfam family "Bacterial small subunit ribosomal RNA", at positions 355 to 776 of the family's 1533-position model. The record is from RNAcentral. Lineage: Bacteria; Bacillati; Chloroflexota.